RNAcentral lists this ribosomal RNA (253 nucleotides) under uncultured bacterium. Its description in RNAcentral is "partial 16S ribosomal RNA". It matches the Rfam family "Bacterial small subunit ribosomal RNA", at positions 524 to 776 of the family's 1533-position model. The record is from RNAcentral.
UACGAAGGGGGCUAGCGUUGCUCGGAAUUACUGGGCGUAAAGCGCACGUAGGCGGCUUCUUAAGUCGGUGGUGAAAUCCUGGAGCUCAACUCCAGAACUGCCUUUGAUACUGAGAAGCUUGAGUCCGGGAGAGGUGAGUGGAACUGCGAGUGUAGAGGUGAAAUUCGUAGAUAUUCGCAAGAACACCAGUGGCGAAGGCGGCUCACUGGCCCGGUACUGACGCUGAGGUGCGAAAGCGUGGGGAGCAAACAGG